UGUCACAGCCCACUAUCCCAAUGACGGGUUAACAGGGGUUAUGACUUGGGGUGAACAAUAAGAAAUGGAAAUGGACAAUUACUUAACAUUAAAGUAUAUGAAAAUAUCACUUAUAGAUAAAAAGCUAGGAUCAUAUAUGAUCAUUUGGAUACUUAUAAAACAUACACAUAAAAGAGAACUGAUUAAGGUGGGUUACCCAAUAACACGUGUAACAACUUCAUAACAUAGAGUUAUCCUAAUCAAAGUGUUUUGCAGCGGAAAACGUGUGAGAUAUACAUAUGAAGAUGUAUACUCAAGGUUACAUUUCUUGAAAUGUCAAAGGAACACCCGCUCAACAUCAUUCCAUUCCAUCAACUGCUCAACCUGCACAUUUAGAAAUACAUGCAGGGCUGAGUAUAA
Molecule: long non-coding RNA, 399 nt
Filed under: Salvia miltiorrhiza (redroot sage)
Lineage: Eukaryota; Viridiplantae; Streptophyta; Magnoliopsida; Lamiales; Lamiaceae
Description: long non-coding RNA (SMIL_LNC013753)
Source: RNAcentral